Molecule: ribosomal RNA, 474 nt
Filed under: Mycobacterium bohemicum
Lineage: Bacteria; Bacillati; Actinomycetota; Actinomycetes; Mycobacteriales; Mycobacteriaceae
Description: bacterial SSU rRNA
Rfam family: Bacterial small subunit ribosomal RNA
Source: RNAcentral
GACGAACGCUGGCGGCGUGCUUAACACAUGCAAGUCGAACGGAAAGGUCUCUUCGGAGAUACUCGAGUGGCGAACGGGUGAGUAACACGUGGGCAAUCUGCCCUGCACUUCGGGAUAAGCCUGGGAAACUGGGUCUAAUACCGGAUAUGACCUCGAGGCGCAUGCCUUGUGGUGGAAAGCUUUUGCGGUGUGGGAUGGGCCCGCGGCCUAUCAGCUUGUUGGUGGGGUGAUGGCCUACCAAGGCGACGACGGGUAGCCGGCCUGAGAGGGUGUCCGGCCACACUGGGACUGAGAUACGGCCCAGACUCCUACGGGAGGCAGCAGUGGGGAAUAUUGCACAAUGGGCGCAAGCCUGAUGCAGCGACGCCGCGUGGGGGAUGACGGCCUUCGGGUUGUAAACCUCUUUCACCAUCGACGAAGGUCCGGGGUUUCUCGGAUUGACGGUAGGUGGAGAAGAAGCACCGGCCAACUACG